UACAGAGGGGGCAAGCGUUGUUCGGAAUUACUGGGCGUAAAGGGCGCGUAGGCGGCCUGCUAAGUCGAACGUGAAAUCCCUGGGCUCAACCCAGGAACUGCGUCCGAUACUGGUUGGCUUGAAUCCGGGAGAGGGAUGCGGAAUUCCAGGUGUAGCGGUGAAAUGCGUAGAUAUCAGGAGGAACACCGGUGGCGAAGGCGGGUCUCUGGGCCGAUACUGACGCUGAGGAGCGAAAGCGUGGGGAGCAAACAGG
This 253-nucleotide ribosomal RNA is filed under the name uncultured bacterium. RNAcentral's name for it is "partial 16S ribosomal RNA". It matches the Rfam family "Bacterial small subunit ribosomal RNA", at positions 524 to 776 of the family's 1533-position model. The record is from RNAcentral.